UACAGAGGUCUCAAGCGUUGUUCGGAUUCAUUGGGCGUAAAGGGUGCGUAGGCGGUCGGGUAAGUCGGAUGUGAAAUCCCAGGGCUCAACCCUGGAACUGCAUUCGAUACUGCCUGGCUAGGGUACUGGAGAGGAGACUGGAAUUUACGGUGUAGCAGUGAAAUGCGUAGAUAUCGUAAGGAAGACCAGUGGCGAAGGCGAGUCUCUGGACAGUUACCGACGCUGAGGCACGAAGGUCAGGGGAGCAAACGGG
RNAcentral lists this ribosomal RNA (253 nucleotides) under uncultured bacterium. RNAcentral describes it as "partial 16S ribosomal RNA". It matches the Rfam family "Bacterial small subunit ribosomal RNA", at positions 524 to 776 of the family's 1533-position model. The record is from RNAcentral.